This 45-nucleotide non-coding RNA is filed under the name Trichobilharzia regenti. Lineage: Eukaryota; Metazoa; Platyhelminthes; Trematoda; Strigeidida; Schistosomatidae. The record is from RNAcentral.
AUCUAACUGACGAAUCCCGAACAGGACGAAAUACGCAUUCUAGAU